Molecule: ribosomal RNA, 1026 nt
Filed under: Triticum aestivum (bread wheat)
Lineage: Eukaryota; Viridiplantae; Streptophyta; Magnoliopsida; Poales; Poaceae
Description: partial small subunit ribosomal RNA
Source: RNAcentral
AUGAGUUUUCAGUCCUGGAACCAUCCUGCGGCGGUGCAGCAUAUUGUGCGCAAUGAACAAGCCAUAGUCGACAACCUUACUGAAGAUAACGCGACAAGGGUGUUGGCUAGCAGAAGGACAGCAGAGGGCGAACAGUUGUACUUAGUCUAUGAUCAGGGUAGUGCUGGGACUAGUCCCCCAAAUAAGCUGCUCGUCAAGAAGUUCCACAAUGCGAACCCAGCGCUACAAGUAGACGGCAAUGUCAUGUACCGCUGCAACUCGGAGAUGUUCCUGUUAGCCAACAUUUCUCACAAAAACAUCAUCAAAGUUGUAGACCAUAUCCAGAGGGAAGACGCAAUCAUGCUCAUUUAUGAGUAUCCGGUUCAUGGAAGCCUUCGAUCCUGGCUGCACCAACCCAUGGAUGCCGGUCGGCACCUGAGCUGGCCGGACAGGAGGGGCAUCGCCAUUGGUGUGGCCAGAGGGCUCCGCCAGUUACACCACAGAUGCAACAAACUGUUUGUCCACCACAACAUCAACUCUGAAAACAUCUUGCUUGAUCAGAAUUUCAAGGCCGUGAUAGCCAGCUUUGGCGCUGCACAGGUUAACAUGGCGGGGCUCGGCCAACCCUUGCCAAUCACGGACCUGCGUCCUGGUAACUUUGGGUACGCAGCUCCAGAAUAUGGGUUGGGGAAAAACCAGCUGACGGAGAAGGUAGACAUUUACAGCUUUGGAGUGCUGAUGCUGGAGCUUGUCACAGGGCGGAUGACCAAUGAAGCUACAACAGAUGGUCAUUUGGCGAAUUGGGCACAGAACAACUUCCGUACACUGAUGGCGAACCAACAGGAAGCAUUCCAGAAUGUUGUGGACAGGAGCAUACCAGAUCAAGCACGGUACAGGGAGGAGAUGGCAACUGUGUUCAUGCUGGGCGUGGAUUGCACUACUGUGGAUCCGAAGGAAAGGCCAUCCAUGCGGAUGGCUCUCAAACGACUCCGCCGCUGCCGUUGGCGUGCCCCAUUCCGUGGCCUCCUCACCGGCUUUCUGAUGUGA